RNAcentral lists this ribosomal RNA (460 nucleotides) under uncultured bacterium. RNAcentral's name for it is "partial 16S ribosomal RNA". It matches the Rfam family "Bacterial small subunit ribosomal RNA", at positions 338 to 795 of the family's 1533-position model. The record is from RNAcentral.
CCUACGGGUGGCAGCAGUGAGGAAUAUUGGUCAAUGGACGCAAGUCUGAACCAGCCAUGCCGCGUGCAGGAAGACGGCUCUAUGAGUUGUAAACUGCUUUUGUACGAGGGUAAACGCAGAUACGCGUAUCUGUCUGAAAGUAUCGUACGAAUAAGGAUCGGCUAACUCCGUGCCAGCAGCCGCGGUAAUACGGAGGAUUCAAGCGUUAUCCGGAUUUAUUGGGUUUAAAGGGUGCGUAGGCGGUCGGAUAAGUUAGAGGUGAAAGCCCGAGGCUCAACUUCGGAAUUGCCUCUGAUACUGUUUGGCUAGAGUGUAGUUGAGGUAGGCGGAAUGUAUGGUGUAGCGGUGAAAUGCUUAGAGAUCAUACAGAACACCGAUUGCGAAGGCAGCUUACCAAGCUACUUCUGACGUUGAGGCACGAAAGCGUGGGGAGCAAACAGGAUUAGAUACCCCAGUAGUC